GUGUUCCAUCACUGAGUUAAAGUAAGUAGUUAACAUGUGCAUCAAUUAAUAAGUUAAGUUAGUUGGGUUAACUAUCAAGAAAACUGAGGCCUACUACCUAGCCCCAAACCCAUUAUACAGGAACCCCAAUGAAGUACCAAGUACCAACACCCACAGAACUCACCGGAGAACUACCCUUUCAGCGCGACCAAUCUUCCUAGGGCCAGGUCCAGGGCUGGCAUAGCAAUUGAUAGAAAGAAAAAAAGCGUCCGCAAUUUCACAACAAGCAUGCAUGUCUUCUUAAAUAAACCAUCUCAGGCUCAAACUCAGUCAACUAACAGACCUACUGAAACCAAGUGUAUAUCCAGCGACGGUGAUUUUCAGAGGGGAUGGUGGCCAGAGUUCAUGGCCUCAAUCUCUUUUAGCCGUGAGCAUAGACCAUCAUAGGAGGAGGUUGACUCAAAGACCCCAGAGAUAGUCACCACACAGAUUCGAGGACGACUCCACAAACCUAGGAAGGACUGUAGCCACCGCAACAAAACUGAAGAUCGCAACAAGGCUAGCGUCUAUUGAAGCAAGAGCAAGGUAGAUCUAAAGAACACCCUCACUAAGAAUUGCUGGAUUUGCCACUAAAAUCGCACAAAAUUUAUUCACAACCUUGCCAGAUGAAAGGGAAGAACUCACUUCCGGAACAAGGGAGAAAGUCCUCCCCUGCCCGAAUGGGGCAAGGGAGGCCAAUAGACGACAAAAAUAAAGGAUAAUUAGAGUAUAUUUAACAUUAUUGUUCAAGCUAUUAUGAAAACAGC
Molecule: unclassified non-coding RNA, 785 nt
Filed under: Hevea brasiliensis (rubber tree)
Lineage: Eukaryota; Viridiplantae; Streptophyta; Magnoliopsida; Malpighiales; Euphorbiaceae
Source: RNAcentral